GCUCCCUUCGUCUAGUGGCCUAGGACGCCGCCCUCUCACGGCGUAAACAGGGGUUCGAGUCCCCUAGGGAGCGCCA
This 76-nucleotide transfer RNA is filed under the name Candidatus Thiomargarita nelsonii. RNAcentral's name for it is "tRNA-Glu". It matches the Rfam family "tRNA". Rfam says of the family: Transfer RNA (tRNA) molecules are approximately 80 nucleotides in length. Their secondary structure includes four short double-helical elements and three loops (D, anti-codon, and T loops). Further hydrogen bonds mediate the characteristic L-shaped molecular structure. tRNAs have two regions of fundamental functional importance: the anti-codon, which is responsible for specific mRNA codon recognition, and the 3' end, to which the tRNAs corresponding amino acid is attached (by aminoacyl-tRNA synthetases). tRNAs cope with the degeneracy of the genetic code in two manners: having more than one tRNA (with a specific anti-codon) for a particular amino acid; and 'wobble' base-pairing, i.e. permitting non-standard base-pairing at the 3rd anti-codon position. The record is from RNAcentral. RNAcentral also lists the same sequence under 2 other names. Lineage: Bacteria; Pseudomonadati; Pseudomonadota; Gammaproteobacteria; Thiotrichales; Thiotrichaceae.